Molecule: long non-coding RNA, 788 nt
Filed under: Homo sapiens (human)
Lineage: Eukaryota; Metazoa; Chordata; Mammalia; Primates; Hominidae
Description: HSALNT0334943
Source: RNAcentral
CACAGACCGAGAGAGAAAAAGGCUGUAGGCUUUAUUGAGCAGAUUGAAAGGACAAAGCUUCCACAGUGUGGAAGGGGUCCCGAGCGGGUAGCCAGAGUUAGAUUAUGUGACUGCCUUUUAAACUCUUUAAGGCCGGAAAUACGUGUGGCGAGAUGUUACCAGAGCGAGAAACAAAGGCAAUUAACCGUUUGUAACAUGUCUUAGAUCUUGAGGAAAACUGGAAUUGCAACUUAGGUUUUAUCUACUUUAUGAACUUGCAGCAGCAUGGCAAAGGAGACGGGAUCUUACAGGACUUUGUUACAAAGACCGAAGUAAGUCCUGAUGCAGGAAAUGAGUGACUUUCACAGCUUUCUGAGCCCCUACUCAACCCAGGAAGUCCAGCUGGCACCUCCUCUGGAUCACAAGGCACUUCAAGCUGGUGUGGGUGGACGUUCUUUCCUGUUGAAAAGAGAACAAAACCCUCAACAAGGAGCAGCUGGAGACAAACUUGGAGCGAGGAAAAGCAGAAAGUGUUGCGAAGCAUAAUCAUUUAAAUCACAGAUUAAGUCAACAUAAUAGCAGAGAAAAUGCAGGAAAUUCAAAAUGUUUGACUAUAGUGGCAACCUCACAGAGUCUUUUCUUUGGGAUCAACAGAGAAAAUGAGCUAAAUGAAUACAAUUUUAUAUCUCCUGACAUAGAAGUAAAGGAUUCAUGAGCAAAUGUUUUAUUUUAUACUAUAAUUUUUAAAAUAUUUCCUUUAAAUACAAAGCCUUAACCAACAAAAUGUAACCAUUAGCUUCAUGAAAAAC